RNAcentral lists this ribosomal RNA (468 nucleotides) under uncultured bacterium. Its description in RNAcentral is "partial 16S ribosomal RNA". It matches the Rfam family "Bacterial small subunit ribosomal RNA", at positions 28 to 507 of the family's 1533-position model. The record is from RNAcentral.
GACGAACGCUGGCGGCGUGCUUAACACAUGCAAGUCGAACGGAAAGGCCCUGCUUUUGUGGGGUGCUCGAGUGGCGAACGGGUGAGUAACACGUGAGUAACCUGCCCUUGACUUUGGGAUAACUUCAGGAAACUGGGGCUAAUACCGGAUAGGAGCUCCUGCUGCAUGGUGGGGGUUGGAAAGUUUCGGCGGUUGGGGAGGGACUGGCGGCUUAUCAGCUUGUUGGUGGGGUAGUGGCUCACCAUGGCUUUGACGGGUAGCCGGCCUGAGAGGGUGACCGGCCACAUUGGGACUGAGAUACGGCCCAGACUCCUACGGGAGGCAGCAGUGGGGAAUAUUGCACAAUGGGCGGAAGCCUGAUGCAGCAACGCCGCGUGCGGGAUGACGGCCUUCGGGUUGUAAACCGCUUUCGCCUGUGACGAAGCGUGAGUGACGGUAAUGGGUAAAGAAGCACCGGCUAACUACGUG